CACGCCGUAAACGAUGUCAACUAGCCGCCGGCCUCACUCUAGAGGUCGGUGGUGCAGCUAACGCAUUAAGUUGACCGCCUGGGGAGUACGGCCGCAAGGUUGAAACUCAAAGGAAUUGACGGGGGCCCGCACAAGCGGUGGAGCAUGUGGUUUAAUUCGAUGCAACGCGAAGAACCUUACCUGGUCUUGACAUGUAGUGAACUUAGCAGAAAUGUUUUGGUGCCUUCGGGAACACUAACACAGGUGC
Molecule: ribosomal RNA, 247 nt
Filed under: uncultured bacterium
Lineage: Bacteria
Description: partial 16S ribosomal RNA
Rfam family: Bacterial small subunit ribosomal RNA
Source: RNAcentral